RNAcentral lists this ribosomal RNA (1367 nucleotides) under Acanthaster planci (crown-of-thorns starfish). RNAcentral describes it as "SSU rRNA". It matches the Rfam family "Eukaryotic small subunit ribosomal RNA", at positions 3 to 1384 of the family's 1831-position model. Lineage: Eukaryota; Metazoa; Echinodermata; Asteroidea; Valvatida; Acanthasteridae. The record is from RNAcentral.
CCUGGUUGAUCCUGCCAGUAGUCAUAUGCUUGUCUCAAAGAUUAAGCCAUGAAUGGCUCAGCAAAAGCUUUACCAAGCAAAAUUGCGGAUGGCUCAUUCAAUCCGUUACGGUUCCCCCUACAUGAAUAAUUGUGGUAAUUCUAGAGCUAAUACAUGCCAGCAAGCGCCGACCUUACGGGAGGCGUGCUCUUAUUAGGAAAAAGACCAACCAGGGCCCGUCCCAGCUCUGUUGGUGAACUCUGGAUUACCUGGCCGAUCGCACGGUCCUUGCUAGGGCGACGGAUCCUUCGAAUGUCUGCCCUAUCAAUUUUCGAUGGUACGUUAUGCGCCUGCCAUGGUCGUAACGGGUAACGGAGAAUCAGGGUUCGAUUCCGGAGAGGGAGCUUGAGAAACAGCUACCACAUCCAAGGAAGGCAGCAGGUGCACAAAUUACCCACUCCCGACACGGGGAGGUAGUGACGAAAAAUAGCAAUACAGCACUCUUCCGAGGCCCUGUCACUGGAAUGAGUACACUUGAAAUCCUUUAACCAGGAUCUAUAGGAGAGCAAGUCUGGUGCCAGCAGACGCAGCAAUUCCAGCUCCAAUAGCGUAUAUUCAAAUUUCUGCAGUUAAAAAGCUCGUAUUGGAUCUUGGGCGCAGGCUGGCGGUCCGCCGCAAGGCACACCACUGCCCGCCUGGCCUUCCUCUCGGUCUCCGCCCGGUUCUCUUGACUGAGUGCCGAAAGCGGCCGGAACGUUUACUUUGAAAAAAAUGGAUUUUUCAAAGCAGGCCGACCGCCUGGACAGCAGAGCAUGGAAUAAUGGAAUAGGACCUCGGUUCUAUUGCGUUGAUUUUCGGAACUCGAGGUAAUGAUUAAGAGGGACUGAGAGGGGUAUUCGUAUUGCGGUGUGAGAGGUGAAAUUUUUGGAUCGCCGCAAGAAAACCGCCUGCAAAAGCAUUUGCAAAGAAUGUUUACAUUAAUCAAGAACGAAAGUUAGAGGUUCGAAGGCGAUCAGAUACUGCUCUAGUUCUAACCAAAACGAUGCCGAAUGGCCAUCUGCCGGCGUUACUCCAAUGACGCGGCGGGCAGUCUUCGGGAAACCAAAGUCUUUGGGUUCCGUGGGAAGUACGGUUGCAAAGCUGAAACGUAAAGGGAUUGACAGAAGGGCACCACCAGUAGUGGAGCCUGCGGCUUAAUUUGACUCAACACGGGGAAACUCACCCGGCCCGGACACAGUGAGGAUUGACAGAUUGAGAGCUCUUUCUUGAUUGUGUGGGUGGUGGUGCGUGACCGUUCUUAGUUGGUGGAGCGGUUUGUCUGGUUAAUUCCGAUAAAGAACGAGACUCUGGCUUGCUAAAUAGUCGCGCCGGCCGCCGCGCCGGACGCU